This 497-nucleotide ribosomal RNA is filed under the name uncultured bacterium. RNAcentral's name for it is "partial 16S ribosomal RNA". It matches the Rfam family "Bacterial small subunit ribosomal RNA", at positions 28 to 507 of the family's 1533-position model. The record is from RNAcentral.
GACGAACGCUGGCGGCGUGCCUAAUACAUGCAAGUUGAGCGCUGAAGGUUGGUACUUGUACCAACUGGAUGAGCAGCGAACGGGUGAGUAACGCGUGGGGAAUCUGCCUUUGAGCGGGGGACAACAUUUGGAAACGAAUGCUAAUACCGCAUAAAAACUUUAAACACAAGUUUUAAGUUUGAAAGAUGCAAUUGCAUCACUCAAAGAUGAUCCCGCGUUGUAUUAGCUAGUUGGUGAGGUAAAGGCUCACCAAGGCGAUGAUACAUAGCCGACCUGAGAGGGUGAUCGGCCACAUUGGGACAGAGACACGGCCCAAACUCCUACGGGAGGCAGCAGUAGGGAAUCAUCGGCAAUGGACGAAAGUCUGACCAAGCAACGCCGCGUGAGUAAGGGAGGUUUUCGGAUCGUAAAACUCUGUUGGUAGAGAAGAACGUUGGUGAGAGUGAAAAGCUCAUCAAGUGACGGUAACUACACAGAAAGGAACGGCUAACUACGUG